Molecule: ribosomal RNA, 432 nt
Filed under: uncultured bacterium
Lineage: Bacteria
Description: partial 16S ribosomal RNA
Rfam family: Bacterial small subunit ribosomal RNA
Source: RNAcentral
AACGAACGCUGGCGGCAUGCCUAACACAUGCCAGUCGAACGAGACCUUCGGGUCUAGUGGCGCACGGGUGCGUAACGCGUGGGAACCUGCCCUUAGGUUCGGAAUAACUCCCCGAAAGGGGUGCUAAUACCGGAUAAUGUCUUCGGACCAAAGAUUUAUCGCCUUUGGAUGGGCCCGCGUUGGAUUAGCUAGUUGGUAGGGUAAAAGCCUACCAAGGCGACGAUCCAUAGCUGGUCUGAGAGGAUGAUCAGCCACACUGGGACUGAGACACGGCCCAGACCCCUACGGGAGGCAGCAGGGGGGAAUAUGGGAAAAGGGGGGAAACCCUGACCCACCAAGGCCGGGGGAGUGAUGAAGGCCUUAGGGUUGUAAAGCUCUUUUACCCGGGAUGAUAAUGACAGUCCCGGGAGAAUAAGCCCCGGCUACCCCCGU